Molecule: long non-coding RNA, 1334 nt
Organism: Cyprinus carpio (common carp)
Lineage: Eukaryota; Metazoa; Chordata; Actinopteri; Cypriniformes; Cyprinidae
Source: Ensembl
AAUUUUGUAUCUUUUUUUAUCUACGGACUCUGGUGACUCUGUGGUCCUCGUGCUUUUAGAUCUAUCAGCAGCAUUUGACACUGUUGACCACUCUACUUUGAUAUCUAGAUUAGAUAUGUGGGGAUAAAAGGAACUGUCCUUAUGUGGUUUCAGUCAUACCUCACUAACAGAAAAUUCUUAGUCAAGUUAAGUAACUUUUCUUCUUCUGUUUCUUAUCUAACCUGCGGUCUUCCUCAAGGCUCUAUCUUGGCGCCCUCUCUUUUCUCUUUGUACAAGCUACCUCUAGGAUCCAUUCUAAUAAGACAUGGGGUGUCUUUUCAUUUUUACACAGACGAUACCCAUAUUAAUGUUUUUGGGCCCUCUGACAAUUAUCAGGCAACCAGCUUAGACCUGGGUAGUUUAUCAGUGUUCAGAUAUUCACGUGUACAGAACCUGGGUGUUUUGUUAGAUGAUUCCUUAAAUCUUGACAAACAUAUCUCCUCUGUUAUAAGUUCUAGUUUUUAUCAACUUUGCCUGCUAUCAAAAAUCAAACCUUUCUUAAAUCAUAAAACUUUAGAGAUGGCUGUUCAUGCUGUUCAUGCUUUUAUCACCUCAUGCCUAGACUACUGCAAUUCACUAUGCUGUGGUAGUUCUAAGUUUUUAAUUGAUCUUCUUCAACUAGUUCAAAAUGCUUCUGCCAGAUUCCUUCACAAUAGCCACAAAAGCGCUCACAUUACUCCAAUCCUGUGGACCCUUUAUUGGCUGCCUAUUAAAUUCAGAAUUUACUUUAAAAUUAUUUUAUUUGUAUAUAAAUAUUUACAUGAUCUAGUUCCUAUCUAUUUAUCUGAAUUGCUGUAUCCAUAUACUCCCUCCAGAUGUUUAAGAUCCAGUGAUCAGAAUCUUCUUCUAGUCCCACAAUCCAGACUCAAACGUAGAGGGGAUCGAGCUUUCUCUGUGGUUGGGCCACGUUUGUGGAAUAACCUCCCUUUAGAGAUUAAACUUGCCCCUUCUCUGUCUACUUUAAAAUCUCUCCUAAAAACAUAUCUGUUUCCUUUGGCUUAUAAAUAAUUUUCUAUUAUGGUCUUUACUUAGUCUUCUAAGGGUUUAUACUUUGAUUCUCUUGUGUUGUGCUUAUUAUAUUUACUUAUUUUAUUAUUAGGGCAAGACCCUGUUUUAAUUGUUUAUUUGUGCUGAUUUUUAUAUUCUUUUACUCUGAAUCUCUGUACAGCACUUUGGUCAGCCAUGUGGCUGUUUUAUAUGUGCUAUAUAAAUAAAAUGAAACUUGAAACUUAUACAUACCUGCAUACAUACAUAUAUAACUUUAUAUAUAUUUUUAGUAACACUAAGGGUAAUUU